AGCGAACGCUGGCGGCAGGCCUAACACAUGCAAGUCGAACGAACCUUUCGGGGUUAGUGGCGGACGGGUGAGUAACACGUGGGAACGUGCCUUUAGGUUCGGAAUAACUCAGGGAAACUUGUGCUAAUACCGAAUGUGCCCUUCGGGGGAAAGAUUUAUCGCCUUUAGAGCGGCCCGCGUCUGAUUAGCUAGUUGGUUGAGGUAAUGGUUCACCAAGGCGACGAUCAGUAGCUGGUCUGAGAGGAUGAUCAGCCACAUUGGGACUGAGACACGGCCCAAACUCCUACGGGAGGCAGCAGUGGGGAAUCUUGCGCAAUGGGCGAAAGCCUGACGCAGCCAUGCCGCGUGAAUGAUGAAGGUCUUAGGAUUGUAAAAUUCUUUCACCGGGGACGAUAAUGACGGUACCCGGAGAAGAAGCCCCGGCUAACUUCGUG
Molecule: ribosomal RNA, 434 nt
Filed under: uncultured bacterium
Lineage: Bacteria
Description: partial 16S ribosomal RNA
Rfam family: Bacterial small subunit ribosomal RNA
Source: RNAcentral